UGGCUCAGGACGAACGCUGGCGGCGUGCCUAAUACAUGCAAGUAGAACGCUGAAGAGAGGAGCUUGCUCUUCUUGGAUGAGUUGCGAACGGGUGAGUAACGCGUAGGUAACCUGCCUUGUAGCGGGGGAUAACUAUUGGAAACGAUAGCUAAUACCGCAUAACAAUGGAUGACACAUGUCAUUUAUUUGAAAGGGGCAAUUGCUCCACUACAAGAUGGACCUGCGUUGUAUUAGCUAGUAGGUGAGGUAACGGCUCACCUAGGCGACGAUACAUAGCCGACCUGAGAGGGUGAUCGGCCACACUGGGACUGAGACACGGCCCAGACUCCUACGGGAGGCAGCAGUAGGGAAUCUUCGGCAAUGGGGGCAACCCUGACCGAGCAACGCCGCGUGAGUGAAGAAGGUUUUCGGAUCGUAAAGCUCUGUUGUAAGUCAAGAACGAGUGUGAGAGUGGAAAGUUCACACUGUGACGGUAGCUUACCAGAAAGGGACGGCUAACUACGUGCCAGCAGCCGCGGUAAUACGUAGGUCCCGAGCGUUGUCCGGAUUUAUUGGGCGUAAAGCGAGCGCAGGCGGUUUGAUAAGUCUGAAGUUAAAGGCUGUGGCUCAACCAUAGUUCGCUUUGGAAACUGUCAAACUUGAGUGCAGAAGGGGAGAGUGGAAUUCCAUGUGUAGCGGUGAAAUGCGUAGAUAUAUGGAGGAACACCGGUGGCGAAAGCGGCUCUCUGGUCUGUAACUGACGCUGAGGCUCGAAAGCGUGGGGAGCGAACAGGAUUAGAUACCCUGGUAGUCCACGCCGUAAACGAUGAGUGCUAGGUGUUGGAUCCUUUCCGGGAUUCAGUGCCGCAGCUAACGCAUUAAGCACUCCGCCUGGGGAGUACGACCGCAAGGUUGAAACUCAAAGGAAUUGACGGGGGCCCGCACAAGCGGUGGAGCAUGUGGUUUAAUUCGAAGCAACGCGAAGAACCUUACCAGGUCUUGACAUCCCGAUGCUAUUUCUAGAGAUAGAAAGUUACUUCGGUACAUCGGUGACAGGUGGUGCAUGGUUGUCGUCAGCUCGUGUCGUGAGAUGUUGGGUUAAGUCCCGCAACGAGCGCAACCCCUAUUGUUAGUUGCCAUCAUUCAGUUGGGCACUCUAGCGAGACUGCCGGUAAUAAACCGGAGGAAGGUGGGGAUGACGUCAAAUCAUCAUGCCCCUUAUGACCUGGGCUACACACGUGCUACAAUGGUUGGUACAACGAGUUGCGAGUCGGUGACGGCAAGCUAAUCUCUUAAAGCCAAUCUCAGUUCGGAUUGUAGGCUGCAACUCGCCUACAUGAAGUCGGAAUCGCUAGUAAUCGCGGAUCAGCACGCCGCGGUGAAUACGUUCCCGGGCCUUGUACACACCGCCCGUCACACCACGAGAGUUUGUAACACCCGAAGUCGGUGAGGUAACCUUUUGGAGCCAGCCGCCUAAGGUGGGAUAGAUGAUUGGGGUGAAG
RNAcentral lists this ribosomal RNA (1481 nucleotides) under uncultured bacterium. RNAcentral describes it as "16S ribosomal RNA". It matches the Rfam family "Bacterial small subunit ribosomal RNA". The record is from RNAcentral.